GAUGAACGCUGGCGGCGUGCCUAAUACAUGCAAGUCGAGCGAACGGACGAGAAGCUUGCUUUUCUGAUGUUAGCGGCGGACGGGUGAGUAACACGUGGAUAACCUACCUAUAAGACUGGGAUAACUUCGGGAAACCGGAGCUAAUACCGGAUAAUAUUUUGAACCGCAUGGUUCAAAAGUGAAAGACGGUCUUGCUGUCACUUAUAGAUGGAUCCGCGCUGCAUUAGCUAGUUGGUAAGGUAACGGCUUACCAAGGCAACGAUGCAUAGCCGACCUGAGAGGGUGACCGGCCACACUGGAACUGAGACACGGUCCAGACUCCUACGGGAGGCAGCAGUAGGGAAUCUUCCGCAAUGGGCGAAAGCCUGACGGAGCAACGCCGCGUGAGUGAUGAAGGUCUUCGGAUCGUAAAACUCUGUUAUUAGGGAAGAACAUAUGUGUAAGUAACUGUGCACAUCUUGACGGUACCUAAUCAGAAAGCCACGGCUAACUACGUGCCAGCAGCCGCGGUAAUACGUAGGUGGCAAGCGUUAUCCGGAAUUAUUGGGCGUAAAGCGCGCGUAGGCGGUUUUUUAAGUCUGAUGUGAAAGCCCACGGCUCAACCGUGGAGGGUCAUUGGAAACUGGAAAACUUGAGUGCAGAAGAGGAAAGUGGAAUUCCAUGUGUAGCGGUGAAAUGCGCAGAGAUGUGGAGGAACACCAGUGGCGAAGGCGACUUUCUGGUCUGUAACUGACGCUGAUGUGCGAAAGCGUGGGGAUCAAACAGGAUUAGAUACCCUGGUAGUCCACGCCGUAAACGAUGAGUGCUAAGUGUUAGGGGGUUUCCGCCCCUUAGUGCUGCAGCUAACGCAUUAAGCACUCCGCCUGGGGAGUACGACCGCAAGGUUGAAACUCAAAGGAAUUGACGGGGGCCCGCACAAGCGGUGGAGCAUGUGGUUUAAUUCGAAGCAACGCGAAGAACCUUACCAAAUCUUGACAUCCUUUGACAACUCUAGAGAUAGAGCCUUCCCCUUCGGGGGACAAAGUGACAGGUGGUGCAUGGUUGUCGUCAGCUCGUGUCGUGAGAUGUUGGGUUAAGUCCCGCAACGAGCGCAACCCUUAAGCUUAGUUGCCAUCAUUAAGUUGGGCACUCUAAGUUGACUGCCGGUGACAAACCGGAGGAAGGUGGGGAUGACGUCAAAUCAUCAUGCCCCUUAUGAUUUGGGCUACACACGUGCUACAAUGGACAAUACAAAGGGCAGCGAAACCGCGAGGUCAAGCAAAUCCCAUAAAGUUGUUCUCAGUUCGGAUUGUAGUCUGCAACUCGACUACAUGAAGCUGGAAUCGCUAGUAAUCGUAGAUCAGCAUGCUACGAUGAAUACGUUCCCGGGUCU
RNAcentral lists this ribosomal RNA (1372 nucleotides) under uncultured bacterium. RNAcentral's name for it is "bacterial SSU rRNA". It matches the Rfam family "Bacterial small subunit ribosomal RNA", at positions 28 to 1381 of the family's 1533-position model. The record is from RNAcentral.